Acomys russatus (golden spiny mouse) is the source of this 104-nucleotide small nuclear RNA. The record is from RefSeq and is a predicted model, not a curated record. NCBI's taxonomy places the organism in Eukaryota, Metazoa, Chordata, Mammalia, Rodentia, Muridae.
GUGCUCACUUCAGCAGCACAUAUAGUAAAACUGGAACAGUACAGAGAUUAGCAUGGCCCCUCUGCAAAGAUGACAAAGUGUUCCUUUUGUUUUGUUUUUGUUUU